RNAcentral lists this ribosomal RNA (253 nucleotides) under uncultured bacterium. RNAcentral's name for it is "partial 16S ribosomal RNA". It matches the Rfam family "Bacterial small subunit ribosomal RNA", at positions 524 to 776 of the family's 1533-position model. The record is from RNAcentral.
UACGUAGGGGGCAAGCGUUGUUCGGAAUUACUGGGCGUAAAGGGCGCGUAGGCGGCCUGCUAAGUCGGCCGUGAAAUCCCUCGGCUCAACCGGGGAACUGCGUCCGAUACUGGUGGGCUCGAAUCCGGGAGAGGGAUGUGGAAUUCCAGGUGUAGCGGUGAAAUGCGUAGAUAUCUGGAGGAACACCGGUGGCGAAGGCGGCAUCCUGGACCGGUAUUGACGCUGAUGCGCGAAAGCCAGGGGAGCAAACGGG